GGUGGUUCUCGGGCAAUGUACCCCAGAAUCAGGCUCCCUCCUCUCUGGUUCCAGGUGUAUCACCUGAGAACUGCA
This is a non-coding RNA of Myotis lucifugus (little brown bat), 75 nucleotides long. The record is from Rfam. NCBI's taxonomy places the organism in Eukaryota, Metazoa, Chordata, Mammalia, Chiroptera, Vespertilionidae.